This 491-nucleotide ribosomal RNA is filed under the name uncultured bacterium. RNAcentral describes it as "partial 16S ribosomal RNA". It matches the Rfam family "Bacterial small subunit ribosomal RNA", at positions 29 to 507 of the family's 1533-position model. The record is from RNAcentral.
GUGCACGCUGGCGGUAGGCCUAACCCAUGCAAGUCGAACGGCAGCACCGUAAGAGCUUGCUCUUACGGGUGGCGAGUGGCGGACGGGUGAGGAAUACAUCGGAAUCUACUUUUUCGUGGGGGAUAACGUAGGGAAACUUACGCUAAUACCGCAUACGACCUACGGGUGAAAGCAGGGGAUCUUCGGACCUUGCGCGAUUGAAUGAGCCGAUGUCGGAUUAGCUAGUUGGCGGGGUAAAGGCCCACCAAGGCGACGAUCCGUAGCUGGUCUGAGAGGAUGAUCAGCCACACUGGAACUGAGACACGGUCCAGACUCCUACGGGAGGCAGCAGUGGGGAAUAUUGGACAAUGGGCGCAAGCCUGAUCCAGCCAUACCGCGUGGGUGAAGAAGGCCUUCGGGUUGUAAAGCCCUUUUGUUGGGAAAGAAAAGCAGCAGGUUAAUACCCCGCUGUUCUGACGGUACCCAAAGAAUAAGCACCGGCUAACUUCGUG